GAUGAAGAACGUAGCGAAAUGCGAUAAGUAGUGUGAAUUGCAGAAUUAAGUGAAUCAUCGAAUCUUUGAACGCACAUUGCGCCCCUCGGUAUUCCGUGGGGCAUGCCUGUUCGAGCGUCAUUUAACCCCUCAAGCCUAGCUUGGUAUUGGGUGCUUGUCCCGCCUCUCGCGCGGCGACUCACCUCAAAGUCAUUGGCAGCCCGCAUCUCGCCGGCCGUGAGCGCAGCACAGACGCGCUCUUGGCAACGACGGAUCGGCUCUCCAAAAGCUUAUUUCAACCACUGACCUCGGAUCAGGUAGGGAUACCCGCUGAACUUAAGCAUAUCAAUAAGCGGAGGA
Molecule: unclassified non-coding RNA, 339 nt
Filed under: soil metagenome
Description: partial contains 5.8S ribosomal RNA, internal transcribed spacer 2, and large subunit ribosomal RNA
Rfam family: 5.8S ribosomal RNA (bases 1-120)
Source: RNAcentral